AUUUAAGAUACAUUCUGACUCA
This 22-nucleotide microRNA is filed under the name Macaca fascicularis (crab-eating macaque). RNAcentral's name for it is "novel_miR10-3p". Lineage: Eukaryota; Metazoa; Chordata; Mammalia; Primates; Cercopithecidae. The record is from RNAcentral.